Molecule: long non-coding RNA, 676 nt
Organism: Xenopus laevis (African clawed frog)
Lineage: Eukaryota; Metazoa; Chordata; Amphibia; Anura; Pipidae
Exons: 3
Source: RefSeq, a predicted model, not a curated record
UUUUAGGCCAUCAGAUAUGAUAAGGACCCGGUGUGGAACAAGACAAUCCAUUUUCCAAUACAGAACCCUUAUGAGGAUGAAUUGCACAUUGAGGUAAAAGAUGUGCAUCAUGGGAGGUUGGGCACUUUCUCUAUGUCCAUCUGUGACCUACUGUUGGCAGAAAACCUCACAGUGGAAGGAUGUUUUAAUUUGCGUUCACCUAAUCCUCUGGCUACUAUCAACAUAAAAAUGGAGUUGAGGAUUCUAGUGCCUCCUCAUCUUGAUGAGAGGAUAGAGGAAAUGACUUCUGAUGAUUUAAGUUCUGAAGAGCUGAGUAUUCAGAUGUAAGGAGCCGUUAAUUGUGGGACAGUAAUAUAGGGAGGCAAUAAAUCACUGCCCUGAACACCCCGAAAACAGGUAGAAUGGCGCUGUAUUUAAAAAAAAAAUGGAACCUCCCUCGGACUCCUGUAGAACCUCGGUCAGGUUAGAUCUGUCAGAUUUUUCUCGUUAAAAUUCUGAAGAUUGUUUUAAAUUGAUAGAAAUACAAAACCACAACUUUUAAAAAAAAUGUAGAUCAUAUUUUCUUGACUCUUUCAAAUCAUGGAAAAAACACAAAUCUUGAAUUUUACUAAAUAGUCCCCUCUAUGUUUGGUUUAGGAUCUGAGUAAAUAAAACCAACCCAUAUUUGCUCUGGAAA